AGAGUUUGAUCAUGGCUCAGAACGAACGCUGGCGGCGUGCUUAAUACAUGCAAGUCGAACGUGAAUCCCGACUUCGGUUGGGAUGAAAGUGGCGAACGGGUGAGUAACACGUAAGUAAUCUGCCUUCAAGUUUGGGAUAACCCUGCCAACGCGGGGCUAAUACCGGAUGUGGUCCAGCUGACACAUGUUGGCUGGAUUAAAGGUCGCGAGGCCGCUUGGAGAUGAGCUUGCGGCCCAUUAGUUAGUUGGUGAGGUAACGGCCCACCAAGACGAAGAUGGGUAGCCGGCCUGAGAGGGUGUACGGCCACAUUGGGACUGAGAUACGGCCCAGACUCCUACGGGAGGCAGCAGUAGGGAAUUUUGCGCAAUGGACGGAAGUCUGACGCAGCAACGCCGCGUGAAGGAUGACGGCCUUCGGGUUGUAAACUUCUGUUGGAUGGGAAAAAAAGCCUAGGAAUAGGAAUUGAUGGUACCAUUCGAGUAAGCACCGGCUAACUACGUGCCAGCAGCCGCGGUAAUACGUAGGGUGCGAGCGUUGUUCGGAAUCACUGGGCGUAAAGGGAGCGUAGGCGGGAUCGUAAGUUAGGAGUUUAAUACAUGGGCUCAACCCGUGAUAUGCUUUUAAUACUGCGGUUCUUGAGUAUGGGAGAGGGUGAUGGAAUUCCAGGUGUAGCGGUGGAAUGCGUAGAUAUCUGGAAGAACACCAGUAGCGAAGGCGGUCACCUGGCCCAAUACUGACGCUGAGGCUCGAAAGCUGGGGGAGCAAACAGGAUUAGAUACCCUGGUAGUCCCAGCCGUAAACGAUGGACACUAGUUGCCGGGAGAGUCAAUCCUUUCGGUGACGAAGCUAACGCAUUAAGUGUCCCGCCUGGGAAGUACGCCCGCAAGGGUGAAACUCAAAGGAAUUGACGG
Molecule: ribosomal RNA, 912 nt
Filed under: uncultured bacterium
Lineage: Bacteria
Description: bacterial SSU rRNA
Rfam family: Bacterial small subunit ribosomal RNA
Source: RNAcentral